ACAGUAUACCUAAGUGCCGAGAAUCCAUGCACAUUUUUUUUUUUUUUUUUUUGCUAAAAAUGUUAAUAUUUCAUAAAAAUGAAAAAUGUUUAGGUUUACAAUCGAUGAUCAUAGACCUAAAGAGAUGGUCCCAUAGCAAAAAAGUUAAAAACAUGGAAGCAUAAACCAUAACUAGAACUCGGUCCAUCUACUCGACCAAAGCACGAAGCUAAAGGAGUUAGAUGAAGCGAAGACGAUUUCGAUUGUUCAUUCCGGAUUUGUUGUUGGAGCUGAAAGGCGAGCGCACAGAAGAAGAAGCCUAACUACGAAAGACUGAUAACAUUAGAAGCCUUUCACUGGACGUCCGAGACCGGGCCGUCAACGGCAGAUAACUCAAAGUCCUCAACCACAUACGCCUUUUCCGUCAUGUGAGAGCAACCCGAAAAUCAAAUCCAUGAGCUUUUCCAGAACGAAACCUCACUAACCAAAUUAUACAAUAGAUGUGAGCUCACUCUACCAAGUUCA
RNAcentral lists this long non-coding RNA (504 nucleotides) under Arabidopsis lyrata. RNAcentral's name for it is "long non-coding RNA (ALYR_LNC002411)". Lineage: Eukaryota; Viridiplantae; Streptophyta; Magnoliopsida; Brassicales; Brassicaceae. The record is from RNAcentral.